RNAcentral lists this ribosomal RNA (1408 nucleotides) under metagenome. RNAcentral describes it as "bacterial LSU rRNA". It matches the Rfam family "Bacterial large subunit ribosomal RNA", at positions 1536 to 2925 of the family's 2925-position model. The record is from RNAcentral.
AAAAAGGCGAGGCAGCUAUCCCCGAGAGCCCAUGACGAGCGCGUUAGCGCGAAGUCGCUGAUACCACGCUUCCAAGAAAAACUCCGUAGGGAGUCUAUAGGGUGUCCGUACCGCAAACCGACACAGGUGGGUGAGGAGAAAAUCCUAAGGCGCCUGAGAGAACUCUCCUCCAAGGAACUAGGCAAAUUGACACCGUAACUUCGGAAGAAGGUGUGCCCUCGGUAGGUGAAGUCGUACAGAUGGAGCCGAAGAGGGUUGCAGAGAAACGGCGGUAGCGACUGUUUACCAAAAACACAGGACUCUGCGAAGGCGAGAAGCCGACGUAUAGGGUCUGACUCCUGCCCGGUGCUGGAAGGUUAAGGGGAUUCGUCAGCCGCAAGGUGAAGCGAUGAUCCGAAGCCCCAGUAAACGGCGGCCGUAACAAUAACGGUCCUAAGGUAGCGAAAUUCCUUGUCGGGUAAGUUCCGACCUGCACGAAUGGAGUAACGACUUCCGCGCUGUCUCGGAGAGGGACUCAGCGAAAUUGAAAUAGCUGUGCCGAUGCAGUUUACCCGCAGCAAGACGGAAAGACCCCGUGAACCUUUACUAUAACUUGACAGUGACACUAGGGAUUGACUGUGUAGAAUAGGUGGGAGCCUUUGAGACCGGGCCGCUAGGUUCGGUGGAGGCACAAGUGAAAUACCACCCUGUUGAUUUCUGGUGUCUAACCGCGUCCCAUCAUCUGGGAUCGGAACACUGUCUGGUGGGUAGUUUGACUGGGGCGGUCGCCUCCCAAAACGUAACGGAGGCGCGCGAUGGUUCCCUCAGCCCGAUUGGAAACCGGGCGUCGAGUGCAAUGGCAUAAGGGAGCUUAACUGCGAGACCGACAGGUCGAGCAGGUGCGAAAGCAGGUCAUAGUGAUCCGGUGGUUCUGAAUGGAAGGGCCAUCGCUCAACGGAUAAAAGGUACUCCGGGGAUAACAGGCUUAUCUCCCCCAAGAGUUCAUAUCGACGGGGAGGUUUGGCACCUCGAUGUCGGCUCAUCGCAUCCUGGGGCUGGAGCAGGUCCCAAGGGUUUGGCUGUUCGCCAAUUAAAGCGGUACGCGAGCUGGGUUCAAAACGUCGUGAGACAGUUUGGUCCCUAUCUGCUGUGGGCGUAGGAUACUUGAGAGGAUCUGUCCUUAGUACGAGAGGACCGGGAUGGAGACACCUCUGGUGUACCAGUUGUCACGCCAGUGGCAUCGCUGGGUAGCCAUGUGUCGAUUGGAUAACCGCUGAAAGCAUCUAAGCGGGAAACCGACCUCAAGAACAGGUAUCCCGGGCGUAAGCCCCUGAAGACCCGUCGAAGACUACGACGUUGAUAGGUCAGGUGUGUAAGCGUGGUAACACGUUAAGCUAACUGAUACUAAUUGGUCGUGAGGCUUGCUCCA